Long non-coding RNA from Bos taurus (domestic cattle), 942 nucleotides. The record is from Ensembl. Lineage: Eukaryota; Metazoa; Chordata; Mammalia; Artiodactyla; Bovidae.
GUGAGGGAGAUAAGCUCCAGCUCCUAGUAUUGUAAGUCCCCACGUUCUGAGACUACGUGACCUACGUGAUCCAGACUUUUCAAGAAGCCAGCUGAGUUACAGAGGCAGAAGGAGCGGGAGGACCACCAGUGCGAAUAUGAGUGUGAAGUCGCUUCAGUUGUGUCCGACACUUUGCAACCCCACGGACUGCAGCCUGCCAGGCUCCUCUGUCCAUGGGAUUCUCCAGGCAAGAAUACUGGAGUGGGUUGCCAUUUCCUUCUCCAGGGGAAUCUUUCCAACCCAGGGAUGGAUCCGCGUCUCCUCCAUUGGCAGGUUCUUUACCACUAGAGCCACUGGGGAAGCCCACUAGACCACCAAGGAAGUCCCAGAUCCCACAUCUGAGUUGAGCUCAGGGCAUACGUAGGACCAGCCCAGCCUCAGACUCUGGUCCUGUCUCUGCCCUGCUCCCGAAAGUACGACCCAGGCAGCCUACUGAGCUUCCAUCCCUUCUUCCUCAUCCCUUAUUUUGGGUUUCCAACGGAGACUGCAGCCCCAAUUCUUCAUCUCCUAUGGACCUCAUACCCCAGCUGUGUCCUAGAGGACGGUAUGAGCCCCUAGACCUAUAUUCCAGUUGGAGCACUGACUGCACCCAGGCGCUGACCCCUGCCUGACCCCGGCCAUGGCCCUGGACUCUGGGUCUUCCUGAGCUCCGGAAGCUCUCUCUGUUUUGCAACCUGGCUGGCUUCCUUGAGUGGCCCUGGCCCCCAGGCUCACCUCCAUCGCCGUCCGUCUCCUCCUGAGGCCCCACGGAGCCUCCCUGGGCAGCACUUCAAGCUGUGGAGGCCCGCUCCCCACCCCCGCCCCUGCCCCGGCCUGUGUCUUGAACUCGUCUGCUCUCCGGUGCCUGUGGUCACUCAGAUGGCCCUCCAGGACUACUGGGUGCACCCGGGCAGGUCUCUUCAC